AUGAAGAUAUUACGCAACACCAUCCCUCUCCUCUGGGAUGGCCCGACUCUCCUGCAGUCCCCCCGUGACAUUCGGGCCCAUGUUGAUGGGUUCUAUAGGUCCCUGUUCUCCGCUGCUCCUAGGAGCGGCCUUUCUCUGGCUCAUGAUUGCUGGACCGGCCUCCAGCUGGUUUCCGACGCGGAGAAUGCGGCCCUUACGGCCCCCUUCUCCGAGAGCGAGAUCGUGGCCAUCUUCGAUGAGUUCUUCAUUGGGUCCAUCGACCUUGGAUGCCUCAACUAUGGGAUCAUCUCGCCCAUCCCCAAGGUGCUGGGGGCUUCCGACAUCCACCAGUUCCGCCCGACCACGGUCAUCAACGUGAUUUUCCGGAUUCUGGCGAAAGGGUACGCCAAUAGGGUGACCCUGCUAGCUGACCACAUUACCCACCGCAACCAGUCCGCCUUCAAUCAAGGGCGGUAUAUCUUGGAUGGGGUGCUAGUUCUUCAUGAAGUCCUCCAUGAGGUUCGCUCUAAGCACCUCAAGGCGGUGUUCCUGAAGAUCGAUUUUUAUAAGGCAUACGACAUUGUUAGUUGGCCCUUCCUUCGGGAAGUUCUACUCCGGAAAGGCUUUGACGAUUGUUGGAUCUCCAGAGUGAUGCAGAUGGUUUCCUGCGGUCGCACUGCUGUGAACAUCAAUGGUGAGAUCGGCCCUUACUUCCCCACCUUCUAUGGGGUUAGACAAGGCGACCCCUUUUCUCCAUUCUUGUUCAAUAUGGUGGCGGAGGCGCUUGCCGCCAUCCUGGAUAAGGCUAAGGGUGCGGGGCAUAUUCGUGGGAUCACCCCCCACCUGGCCGGCGGCUCCAGGAUCUCCCCUCUCCAGUACGCCGAUGACACCAUCAUCAUGGUCGAAGGCUCGGAUGCGAACAUCUCUAACCUUAAGUUCCUCCUCCUCUGCUUCCAACAAAUGUCCGGCCUCAAGAUCAACUUCGACAAGAGUGAUGUGAUGGUGAUGGGCUACUCUCCUGCAGAAUCCCUAAACAUUGCCAACUGGCUCAACUGCGUUUGGGCUCCUUCCCCACGACCUACUUGCGAACGCCCAUUAGCGACGCUCGGCUUACAGUGGCUGUCUAAGGCGGCCCAGAUGAUCCUCAUCAACUCCUCCCUCUCCAGCCUCCUCUUGUUCCUCAUGAGCUUCUGCAGCCUGCACGAGACUCUACACCAUGAGAUCGCCAAGGUCCAGUCCUUCUUCUAUUGGGCCGGUGACAACAAUAAACAUAAAUACCAUAUGGUCAGCUGGCCUGACAUUUGCAAGCCUCGGGAACAAGGUGGCCUCAGUAUCCUGUGCUCUAAACGCAUGAAUAUUGCUCUCCUAUCCCGCUGGCUAUGGCGCAUCUCGCAAGGUCACGGUGGCCUCUGGUUAGACAUCAUCCGGAACAAGCCAUUUGGGCCUCCGGAUACCGCCGCUUGGCGUGAGUUGCUUGAUUGCGUCGCUCUCCAUGAGCCGAUGGUGGAGGCUGGCCCAGAUCAGGUGAGGUGGCGCCUUGAGUCGUCAGGCCAAUUCUCCACCAAGUCCCCGUACCAGGCCAUCGCCCCCUCCACCGCGCCUCCCCCCUCUUAUGGCGGUGUGGUCCAUCCGCCUUCCACUGAAAAUUCGGAUCUUCAUGUGGCAGUGGAUUCGCGGACGGACCCCGUCUGGGGUCGAGACUCGACUCGCUUCUUCUUCUCGUGUGUGUCCGCUCAAUUUGUUUGGAGCUGCUUUAGGGAGGUGGUGGGUGGGAAUUGGUGCCAUACCAACUUCCCCGACCUAUUUGCCGAACUCCAGAACUCCCCCUUGCCCUCUCGCCACAUUCAGUGGCUUGACAUUGGGGCGAUCGCCUGGACCCUCUGGACGAUCCGCAACAAGCUUGUGAUACAGCGCACUCCUCUUCGAUGGGCUACUGAUGCUCUUUUCAAACUGUCUGGUUACCUGCAGCUUUGGCGGCCGCUCAGCCGCCCUCACGAUUGGGACGCCAUCUCCGCCUUCAUCGCCGACCUUCACUCGGCGGCCGUCCGUCUGUCGCCGCCGCCCCCUCCGCCACCCCCGGAGCCUGACUAG
This 2070-nucleotide ribosomal RNA is filed under the name Triticum aestivum (bread wheat). RNAcentral describes it as "partial small subunit ribosomal RNA". Lineage: Eukaryota; Viridiplantae; Streptophyta; Magnoliopsida; Poales; Poaceae. The record is from RNAcentral.